This 477-nucleotide ribosomal RNA is filed under the name Triticum aestivum (bread wheat). Its description in RNAcentral is "partial small subunit ribosomal RNA". Lineage: Eukaryota; Viridiplantae; Streptophyta; Magnoliopsida; Poales; Poaceae. The record is from RNAcentral.
AUGUCGCUGAUCCGCCGCAGCAACGUGUUCGACCCCUUCUCCCUCGACUUCUUCGACCCUUUUGACGGCUUCCCCUUCGGCUCCGGCAGCAGCAACAGCGGCGGCAGCCUCGUCCCGCGCACCUCCUCCGACACGGCGGCCUUCGCGGGCGCGCGCAUCGACUGGAAGGAGACGCCCGAGGCGCACGUGUUCAAGGCGGACGUCCCCGGGCUGAAGAAGGAGGAGGUGAAGGUGGAGGUGGAGGACGGCAACAUCCUCCAGAUCAGCGGCGAGCGGAACAAGGAGCAGGAGGAGAAGACCGACACCUGGCACAGGGUGGAGCGCAGCAGCGGCAAGUUCCUCCGCAGGUUCCGGCUCCCGGAGAACGCCAAGGCGGAGCAGGUGAAGGCGUCGAUGGAGAACGGCGUGCUCACCGUCACCGUGCCCAAGGAGGAGGCCAAGAAGCCCGACGUCAAGUCCAUCCAGAUCUCCGGCUAG